RNAcentral lists this ribosomal RNA (364 nucleotides) under uncultured bacterium. RNAcentral's name for it is "bacterial SSU rRNA". It matches the Rfam family "Bacterial small subunit ribosomal RNA", at positions 28 to 407 of the family's 1533-position model. The record is from RNAcentral.
GACGAACGCUGGCGGCGUGCCUAACACAUGCAAGUCGAGGGUUUUAGUAGUAAUACGAAGAACACUGGCGCACGGGUGAGUAACGCGUAGAUCAUCUGCCCCUAACACUGACAUAACAGUUCUAACGGACUGCUAAUAUCAGAUGUGAUAAGCAAUUAUUAAAGGGUAACCGGUUAGGGAUGAGUCUGCGUCUGAUUAGGUAGUUGGUGAGGUAACGGCUCACCAAGCCUACGAUCAGUAACUGGUCUGAGAGGACGAACAGUCACACUGGAACUGAGACACGGUCCAGACUCCUACGGGAGGCAGCAGUGAGGAAUAUUGCACAAUGGGAGGAAAUACCUGAUGCAGCGACGCCGCGUGUGGG